GUGAGAGUUUGCGUAACCUUAGUGUGAUAAAUGGAAUAGCUUUACUUUUUCGCAACUUGUGUACUUACGUGAACCAGAGCAGCCUCAUGGGUUUGUAAAAUCGACAUGGUGUGGGAUUAUUCGAGCCAAGCUGAACGACGAAGCACCUUCGGGGGAUCAAAAUGGACCCAGCAGAGCGUGGUUGCAGCUCCGAUGAAAUGCGAAUGACGAACGCUGAGGAUCACACAGAGAGACAGCUAUAAGACUCUCAACACCUUUUUUCUACGCCUUUCUCUACCACCGUCCUACUGCUGACUAAGGGUGAUGGAAGAGGUUGGAGUAGGAUGGUGGAGGGACGAGGCGGCGAAACACGGCAGGAUCCUAUAACCGAGCUCAGAUAAAAAGACUGGAUGACAUGCACGCCCAGCCGCUCCACAGCGACGGGUGAAGGCAGAGCUGUCUCGGCCUGAAGGCCGGGGUCUCGAAACAGGCGCUUCGUGAUGACGUCACGGUUCAAAUCUGCUCUCCGUGAUCAGUUGUCUUGGAAUGGUGAGAGCGAGAGGUCACGCUAAUUCGUUGUGCCUCUACUUCCUUUGUUCCUGCUUGGUCGUCAGCAGAGAGUUAUGGAUUUUCAAAGAACAAAGAGAUCCCGAGCCUCAGGUGGCCUGGGGCAGCAACCGCGGCGGCACUCGGUGCAUAGCUGGGUGGGAAGAGUGGGCUUUGGGAUAUUGAGGACGGGGAAGCUGGAGCAACCAGUACAGAUCAACCGGCAACAGUUCAAGCUCUGAGGUUCAAGGAAGACUGAGCACUCCGUAAAAAGGGAAGGUGUGGGGAGCCAAGCUGGAAGGAAGACCGCACAAGACAGGAAUUUGUUGAUAUUCAGCUGAAUGAUAACUGGACGGCAGGGAAAGAGGAGAUGUGCGCUGCGGCCAUCGCUAAGUGUCCACCCCUCUUAAGUUGUGGGUUAAAACCCAUAAAUAGAGAUAUCCUGGCAUGUGUUAGUAAAUCUACCAGUUAGGCAAACUUCAUGAGCUCUGUUGAAGAAAAGGAAAACAUUAUAAAAGCAAAAGUAUUAUAGCUUUUGUGCUAAAGCAGGAUUUAUUUAUUUGCCAUUAAAUAAACUUCUAUGCAUUAUAAAAGUGACACUUACU
Long non-coding RNA from Eriocheir sinensis (Chinese mitten crab), 1130 nucleotides. RefSeq lists it as uncharacterized. The record is from RefSeq and is a predicted model, not a curated record. NCBI's taxonomy places the organism in Eukaryota, Metazoa, Arthropoda, Malacostraca, Decapoda, Varunidae. The transcript has 9 exons.